GUGGGCGGAAGCUCAUUGUAGAGGUCACAUGCAGAGUGCUCGUCACUCCACCAAUCACCUCGGGGAAGGUCUGAGACAGGAGCCAAUGGUUGCCCUUGCAGGGCAUCACCUGAUUCGGGUGAGCGAGUGAACAGAAAAGAAGGGCCGCAGCGUGCCGUUACCACAGGAGAAGCCAGAGGGAGUAGUUUGACUCCACUGGUGGAUGUGAGGCUCGCAGGCUUGGAAUCGCUCGCGGCUGGCGAAUGAGUGCGAUGUAUGAGGUGGAGCACCGCUCCAGAACCCAAUUCAGACUACUCUCCUCCCAC
Molecule: ribozyme, 305 nt
Organism: Acanthochromis polyacanthus (spiny chromis)
Lineage: Eukaryota; Metazoa; Chordata; Actinopteri; Pomacentridae
Rfam family: Nuclear RNase P
About the family: Ribonuclease P (RNase P) is a ubiquitous endoribonuclease, found in archaea, bacteria and eukarya as well as chloroplasts and mitochondria. Its best characterised activity is the generation of mature 5'-ends of tRNAs by cleaving the 5'-leader elements of precursor-tRNAs. Cellular RNase Ps are ribonucleoproteins.
Source: Ensembl